CUGGACUGGAUGAGGAAAUAGUUUAUACUGUCUUGAGUUAUUGAUUGAAUUUAAAUUUUUUAUAAAAAUGGAAAAAUAUAUUUUAGGGACAAGAAGACCCUAUAAAGCUUUUUUUAUUAUGUAUUAUUUUGUGAUAUAUAAUUAAUUUGGUUGGGGCAAUAAUUUAUUAAUAGUAAAUAUAAAUUUAAAUUAAUAAUAAAAUUUUAAUAUAUUUUUGAUCCAUUAUUAGUGAAAAAUGUUUAAGUUACUUUAGGGAUAACAGGAUAAUUUUUAUUAGAAAGUUCUUAUUAAUAAUAAAGUUUAUUACCUCGAUGUUGAAUUAAUUUAAUUAAAUGGUGAAGUAACUUUUUGAGUUUGACUGUUCGUCAAUUAAAUAAUUACAUGAUCUGAGUUC
Molecule: ribosomal RNA, 394 nt
Filed under: Aoraki denticulata
Lineage: Eukaryota; Metazoa; Arthropoda; Arachnida; Opiliones; Pettalidae
Description: partial 16S ribosomal RNA
Rfam family: Bacterial large subunit ribosomal RNA (bases 255-394)
Source: RNAcentral